This 426-nucleotide long non-coding RNA is filed under the name Numida meleagris (helmeted guineafowl). RNAcentral describes it as "lncRNA (ENSNMEG00000002416.1)". Lineage: Eukaryota; Metazoa; Chordata; Aves; Galliformes; Numididae. The record is from RNAcentral.
AAGGUGGGGAGAUGCCACCAUCAGCAGCCUUGGAGGUGCCACCAAUGCCCUGGAGACGCCACCGCCAAGGUGGGGAGAUGCCACCACCACUGGAGAUACCACUACCACCCAGCCCUGGAGAGAUGUCACCACCAAGGUGGGGAGAUGCCACUAUCAGCCCUGGAGAUGUCACCACCAGGGCAGGGAGAUGUCACCACCACUGGAGAUGCCACCACCACUGGAGAUACCGCUACCAACCACACCUGGAGAUGCCACCACCAGGGUGGGGAGAUGCCACCAUCAUCCCAGGAGAUGCCACCACCGGUCCUGGAGAUGCCACCAGUGCAGUGAAAUGGCCCCAUCACAAGCCCUGGAGAUGCCACCACCAGCUCACGUCCCCCCCGUGUCAUUGUCCCCUUCCUCCUGGCGCUGCCCGGACCCCCCCUC